GAUCCUGGCUCAGGACGAACGCUGGCGGCGCGCCUAACACAUGCAAGUCGAACGGAGUUAAGAGGAGCUUGCUUUUCUUGACUUAGUGGCGAACGGGUGAGUAACGCGUGAGUAACCUGCCCUGGAGUGGGGGGACAACAGUUGGAAACGACUGCUAAUACCGCAUAAGCCCACGGAUUCGCAUGGAUCUGCGGGAAAAGGAUUUAUUCGCUUCAGGAUGGACUCGCGUCCAAUUAGCUAGUUGGUG
RNAcentral lists this ribosomal RNA (247 nucleotides) under uncultured bacterium. RNAcentral's name for it is "partial 16S ribosomal RNA". It matches the Rfam family "Bacterial small subunit ribosomal RNA", at positions 15 to 254 of the family's 1533-position model. The record is from RNAcentral.